RNAcentral lists this long non-coding RNA (1643 nucleotides) under Carica papaya (papaya). Its description in RNAcentral is "long non-coding RNA (CPAP_LNC000175)". Lineage: Eukaryota; Viridiplantae; Streptophyta; Magnoliopsida; Brassicales; Caricaceae. The record is from RNAcentral.
UUCAAGAAUAACUCAUAAACCAUACAACGAUUCUCAUUUAACACUGUCAUCUUCACUUUUAUCAUUCUACAAACACGCAGCAUGGCCCAUCUGUGACCUGUAAAUUUAAAGUCUGAAAGAUAUUUCUGCAUGCUAAGUAGUAUUCUAUUUCAAUACUGUCUUGUCUUCCUCUUUUUGUGAUCGAGGGAAUGAAUGUAUGAGCAGAAAACACAAAGUAUGUCAAGACCAGAAUCGCGUCAAACAAGUAGAAGAUCGUCAGCUAUAGCUUCUUCGAUUUCUAUACACCGGAAUACAUCACUAAACAAAUCAGGCUAUUCUGAUGCUCAAACAAGUGGAAAUCAAAAUAAAUGUACAGCAUCCUCUUCAUCACUCAAGGCAUUGAAUACAGAUACUGUGAACCUGCAAAGUUUAAGCAAACUGUGGUUAGAAACCCAUCGUGCAAGAUUGCCAUCGGUUAUCCUUCUUUGAGGAGGAUGAAGCAAUGGAGAAACAAAAGAAAAUGGGAAAAAGGGAAUCAUCGAAGAUAGAAAUUUAGGAGAAGUUAAAGAGGGAUUUUCUUAAAUGCUAAUGUUGGAAUAAUUCGAGAGACAUUUUAAAAUUCAUCUGUAAGUUUAGACUCAGUUUAACUAGGAGAUUAUAUAAAUAAUAUUAGGAUAGGAAAAAAGGAGUUUGUGUGGAAUUGAAAUAAUAAAUUCUAAGUUCCAGCGAUGUUAAAAUUUGUUCCGGUAUAAGAGUGGAUUUGUGAAUGAAUUCAACCCAAAUUUUAAAUUUGUUCAAAACGUAGCUAACUCUAUGGUAUCUUGGAGGCAUCAUGACUCCAAAGCCCUUAAGCAACAGUCUCUUAAACACCUCACAGUAAUUCUAUAGCGUUGUGUGGUAAUGGACUAUGCUGAAUUAUACUAAGUUACUUCAUUUAUGGUACAACAUUAUCAAAUUACUACGUAAUAUAAAAGACUGAGGGGUGGAGACAAAGCGAGAAUGCCUUCUUGAUGGGAAAAUAAUAAAUAAGUAUAACACAAUAAAAUCACCAAGAACAGGCAUCAUAAACCAAAUAACUUUUAAAUAUUUAAAUAUUAUAUUUCUCCCUACUAUUUGCUCCUUCAUAGCUUUCCUUGAGCAUUCUAUAUCUAAAUGACUAAAUCAUUUAGAACUCAAAAAUAAGAUUCUGAAAUGGGGUUAUCCAUAGGAAAAAGCAAUUAGAGUCUAUAUGGUAUUUUUAAACAUUGAUAAAUUUCUUUAUCAGCUUAUGAGAUAUUAAAGGCAGAUCCUCAUUUUCUUUCUUUCUAGGUGACUUUCGCCAACUAGAAUAACCAAGGUCCUCUUUUCACAUGAAAAUGGAGGUUUUUGCCUCGGAAACUGCUAGCACGAGACAUUCUGCUCUCUCUAGGACAUCAACCAAAAAAUCUUAGCAUCUAAACAAAGAGCAUUGUACCAGAUGAAAACAUUGAGGAGGUUUUAAAAUAUUCGAUUUCUGAAUAGAACAAUGUUCAUUUUUCAUCAUGAAACUUCGAAGAAACUAUAUUUUAUCUUUAUGUUCUCAGAAAAUUCAACUGAUUAAUCUAAAUAGUUAAUCACCAGGUAGCAGAUACAUGUAAGUUAUGUCACUUUCAUUUUCCUAAAUCGGGAGCUUGUACCAUCUCUUC